UCACUACUUGCGUAGGCAGUCUGGCUAGAGUCCCCACCACUACGUGCUGGUAACUAACCACAGGGGUUGCGCUCGUUGCGCCACUUAAGGCAACACCUCACGGCACGAGCUGACGACAGCCAUGCAGCACCUUCGCGGGCGCCCCGAAGGGAAGCCCCGUUUCGGGGGCGGUCGCCCGUGAUUUAGCCCGGGUAAGGUUCUUCGCGUUGCAUCGAAUUAAGCCACAUGCUCCACCGCUUGUGCGGGCCCCCGUCAAUUCCUUUGAGUUUCAUUCUUGCGAACGUACUCCCCAGGUGGUAUGCUUACUGCGUUAACUGCGUCACAGAACCUCGCGGCCCCACAACUAGCAUACAUCGUUUACAGCGUGGACUAC
Molecule: unclassified non-coding RNA, 373 nt
Filed under: uncultured Bacteroidota bacterium
Lineage: Bacteria; Pseudomonadati; Bacteroidota
Description: uncultured Bacteroidetes bacterium contains 16S-23S intergenic spacer region
Source: RNAcentral